UGCCGAUCAAUCGACUUCAACAAGGUUCUGAAUCGAUUAAUAGAUUUCUGGAUCUGAUUAUAAAAUGGAGGAUCAAGAGAUGGUGGUGAAGCAGAUGUGUAAGCAACAAAUGACAACCUAAUUUCUGCUGAACCCUAAAACCCACCAUCGCAAAUUUGCUUUGUCUGUUCUUGAUCGAUUCCUCUUUGAUAAUCGAAGGUCCACAUAUAGAGACUGAGUGUUAGAUGUUGGAACCGGACUUGAAAAAUUCGAAAUAAAAUUCUCCUUCUGUCAUGGCAAUCUGAAGAUUUCAAAUCCGUUUCUCAAUUGUCGUUCUUUCAUUCGGCAUUUCGAACAAUUACGAUCAGUUUUUUGAUAU
Molecule: long non-coding RNA, 358 nt
Filed under: Helianthus annuus (common sunflower)
Lineage: Eukaryota; Viridiplantae; Streptophyta; Magnoliopsida; Asterales; Asteraceae
Description: sRNA HanXRQr2_Chr16g0770461
Source: RNAcentral